GUAGGCGUGGAAAGAGGUUGGCGCUCUGGAAGUCCAGCUGCUUCGGCUCCCUGCGUUAAGUCUGGUGGCGGUCAGUGCGCUUCCGGACCCGGGAUCAGAGUGUGUGGAUCGCUAUAAAGGGAGGGGAGCUCAGGUAUCACCAUGGCAACAGCCAGCCCUCCGGACCCGUGACGUCACCCUUCUGGUUUCGCGCUUAGAGGCCUCUGCGGGAGAAAGCUGGGGAGUCCUCAAAGGGGGCGCACCUCGCCUCCGUCUGUGCGGGGCGGUCCCGCCCUGAUCCCUUGGAGGGCUUUGUUCUUUUGUUCUGGCCUAAGGGGAAGUCGGGUGCCGGGCCCCGCCCUGCUUAUCCACCUUCCAGCUUUAACGCUCUGCAACAGGAUAGACAACCUCAGCGUGUUGCAGACUCCCUGCAAGGGGAGCUAGACAUCUGAGUCCCAGACUGAGGUAUCAGCUGAAGGAACGCUGCCUGGCGAACCCUGGUAUUCAAGUUCCAGAGGAACGGGAUGAGCUUCUGAGAUGGAAGAUCUGUCCUCUCCAGACUCCACCCUUCUCCAAGGGGGACAUAAUCUACUCUCAUCAGCCAGUUUUCAGAUGUUACACAGGAUUCAGAAAAAUAUGGAAGAGAUGGUUUAUGGCAAGUGGUACAUAAAUGAUUGAAUGAAGUCAGAAUACGAAAGCCUUGAAUACCUGGAUGAGAAGUUGAAGGCUUUAUCGUGUAAGCCAUUUAUGAACCAUUAAUGAUUUUUAAUGGAAGAAAAGUGACCUGGACUGAUGGAGAACUUAGACAAAAAAGGUAACAAUUGCUCACCAGCCAUAAUCAACCUCAAGCCCUCCUCCUUCUUAAAAUUUUCCCCCUGCUUAAUUCCUGUCCCAUAACUGAAUUUUCUUAACAAAGAAAUGGUACUAGUUCUUCCCACUUUCAGCCCAAGUACUUUUGGUAUUUUCUAUUUAAUUGGGGAGUAUAUUGUGACAGUAAAGUGCACAUAUUUAAAAAUGUAUAAUUUGGGCCGGGCGCGGUGGCUCAAGCCUGUA
This is a long non-coding RNA of Cercocebus atys (sooty mangabey), 1032 nucleotides long. RefSeq lists it as uncharacterized. The record is from RefSeq and is a predicted model, not a curated record. The transcript has 4 exons. Lineage: Eukaryota; Metazoa; Chordata; Mammalia; Primates; Cercopithecidae.